Molecule: ribosomal RNA, 465 nt
Filed under: uncultured bacterium
Lineage: Bacteria
Description: partial 16S ribosomal RNA
Rfam family: Bacterial small subunit ribosomal RNA
Source: RNAcentral
CCUACGUGGAGCAGCAGUGGGGAAUAUUGCGCAAUGGGCGAAAGCCUGACGCAGCGACGCCGCGUGAGGGAUGAAGGUCUUCGGAUCGUAAACCUCUGUCAGCAGGGAAGAACGGUCACUGUGCUAAUCAUCAGUGAAUUGACGGUACCUGCAAAGGUAGCACCGGCUAACUCCGUGCCAGCAGCCGCGGUAAUACGGAGGGUGCGAGCGUUAAUCGGAAUUACUGGGCGUAAAGCGCUCGUAGGCGGUAUGUCAAGUCAAGGGUGAAAUCCCCGCGCUCAACGUGGGAACUGCCUUUGAAACUGGCAAACUGGAGUGUGUGAGAGGAUAGUGGAAUUCGAGGUGUAGGAGUGAAAUCCGUAGAUAUCUGGAGGAACAUCAGUGGCGAAGGCGACUAUCUGGCACAUAACUGACGCUGAGGAGCGAAAGCGUGGGUAGCAAACAGGAUUAGAUACCCUUGUAGUC